GCCUUCGUAGCUCAGCUGGCAGAGCAGCCGCCUUGUAAGCGGCAGGUCACCGGUUCGAACCCGGUCGAAGGCU
Molecule: transfer RNA, 73 nt
Filed under: Propionibacteriaceae bacterium
Lineage: Bacteria; Bacillati; Actinomycetota; Actinomycetes; Propionibacteriales; Propionibacteriaceae
Description: tRNA-Thr
Rfam family: tRNA
About the family: Transfer RNA (tRNA) molecules are approximately 80 nucleotides in length. Their secondary structure includes four short double-helical elements and three loops (D, anti-codon, and T loops). Further hydrogen bonds mediate the characteristic L-shaped molecular structure. tRNAs have two regions of fundamental functional importance: the anti-codon, which is responsible for specific mRNA codon recognition, and the 3' end, to which the tRNAs corresponding amino acid is attached (by aminoacyl-tRNA synthetases). tRNAs cope with the degeneracy of the genetic code in two manners: having more than one tRNA (with a specific anti-codon) for a particular amino acid; and 'wobble' base-pairing, i.e. permitting non-standard base-pairing at the 3rd anti-codon position.
Source: RNAcentral